RNAcentral lists this ribosomal RNA (497 nucleotides) under uncultured bacterium. Its description in RNAcentral is "bacterial SSU rRNA". It matches the Rfam family "Bacterial small subunit ribosomal RNA", at positions 15 to 507 of the family's 1533-position model. The record is from RNAcentral.
GAUCAUGGCUCAGAACGAACGCUGGCGGCGCGUCUUAACCAUGCAAGUCGGACGGCAGGUAGCAAUACCGAGAGUGGCGGACUGGUGAGUAACACGUGGGUGACGUACCCUUUAGUCUGGGAUAGCCGGUAGAAAUACCGGGUAAUACCGGAUAAGCUCAUUACUGUCAGAGGGUAAUGAGGAAAGGAGCUUCGGCUCCGCUGAAGGAACGGCCUGCGGCCUAUUAGCCUGUUGGUGAGGUAACGGCCCACCAAAGCGAUGAUAGGUAUCCGGCCUAAGAGGGCAAACGGACACAUUGGGACUGAGAUACGGCCCAGACUCCUACGGGAGGCAGCAGGUAAGAAUAUUCCGCAAUGGGCGAAAGCCUGACGGAGCGACGCCGCGUGGAUGAUGAAGGCCGAAAGGUUGUAAAAUCCUUUUACUACUGACGAAUAAGUGUAUCAGGCAAUGGGUACAUGGUGACGGUAGGUAACGAAUAAGCACCGGCUAAUUACGUG